RNAcentral lists this ribosomal RNA (253 nucleotides) under uncultured bacterium. RNAcentral describes it as "partial 16S ribosomal RNA". It matches the Rfam family "Bacterial small subunit ribosomal RNA", at positions 524 to 776 of the family's 1533-position model. The record is from RNAcentral.
UACGUAGGGGGCAAGCGUUGUCCGGAUUUAUUGGGCGUAAAGAGCGCGCAGGCGGCUUGGUAAGUCGGAUGUGAAAUCCCGAGGCUCAACCUCGGGUCUGCAUCCGAUACUGCCCGGCUAGAGGUAGGUAGGGGAGAUCGGAAUUCCUGGUGUAGCGGUGAAAUGCGCAGAUAUCAGGAGGAACACCGGUGGCGAAGGCGGGUCUCUGGGCCGAUACUGACGCUGAGGAGCGAAAGCGUGGGGAGCGAACAGG